UGAACACGGAGCUUGCUCUGUGGGAUCAGUGGCGAACGGGUGAGUAACACGUGAGCAACCUGCCCCUGACUCUGGGAUAAGCGCUGGAAACGGCGUCUAAUACUGGAUAUGUGACGUGACCGCAUGGUCUGCGUCUGGAAAGAAUUUCGGUUGGGGAUGGGCUCGCGGCCUAUCAGCUUGUUGGUGAGGUAAUGGCUCACCAAGGCGUCGACGGGUAGCCGGCCUGAGAGGGUGACCGGCCACACUGGGACUGAGACACGGCCCAGACUCCUACGGGAGGCAGCAGUGGGGAAUAUUGCACAAUGGGCGCAAGCCUGAUGCAGCAACGCCGCGUGAGGGAUGACGGCCUUCGGGUUGUAAACCUCUUUUAGCAGGGAAGAAGCGAAAGUGACGGUACCUGCAGAAAAAGCGCCGGCUAACUACGUGCCAGCAGCCGCGGUAAUACGUAGGGCGCAAGCGUUAUCCGGAAUUAUUGGGCGUAAAGAGCUCGUAGGCGGUUUGUCGCGUCUGCUGUGAAAUCCGGAGGCUCAACCUCCGGCCUGCAGUGGGUACGGGCAGACUAGAGUGCGGUAGGGGAGAUUGGAAUUCCUGGUGUAGCGGUGGAAUGCGCAGAUAUCAGGAGGAACACCGAUGGCGAAGGCAGAUCUCUGGGCCGUAACUGACGCUGAGGAGCGAAAGGGUGGGGAGCAAACAGGCUUAGAUACCCUGGUAGUCCACCCCGUAAACGUUGGGAACUAGUUGUG
Molecule: ribosomal RNA, 743 nt
Filed under: Microbacterium maritypicum
Lineage: Bacteria; Bacillati; Actinomycetota; Actinomycetes; Micrococcales; Microbacteriaceae
Description: bacterial SSU rRNA
Rfam family: Bacterial small subunit ribosomal RNA
Source: RNAcentral